CCCCAAACACCUCAAGCCGAGCCUCAACGAAGAGGUCGCUACUGAGCGAUACCUCCGCGACAUUUAGCACCAGCAGGUGCUGACACCUGACAGUUCCGCUUGAUUGGACAUCGAUCUAUAUAAGCGUAUGCCGGAGCAGAGAAUUCAUCUUUCGCUCUUCGCGACGCGGUAAAAUAACUCGCGAAAAUCGGAGUAGUCGCAACUUAAAAUUGGAACAAAAGUGCUUAGAAUCGGAACAAUAUAUCCGGAGCCUUGAGAGCUCAGAUUGAGAGCUCGAAGCCCGUUGAAGCAUAGCUUCUUGAACACGAUAAAUCUGUGUACUUUCGGAGUAACUGGCGAAGAGAGAAAAAGACGUGGUAUCAUAAGUCGGACGUUAGUUUUCGUGUACUUUUCCACGAGAUUUUCUCAGGAGUCAUCGUUAUAAGCCUACUCAAUAAGUAUUCGUGUAAAUCGCGUGCGAGAAUCCUUGGAGUAUCUUCACUCAGACUGUACAAAGAAACGUGAAUAAAGUGCUUAAUGUUCUCAAGAUAGACAAUCAUAGCAGAAAUCUCUAAUCGACCGCCCUUCCAGACAAUCCAGACAAUCAGGAUUUUCACUAAGGUUCCAUCUCUAGAGCAGAAAUCCCCCCUAUACCGUGGGCAUCCUCUUUACUAGUUCGUUCAGUAUUUUCAUUUCUGAUUGUCGUAAUCAAUUAUCCCUGGGAAGAUAUGAAGAACUGAUUGCUUUAUAUUGACGAUAUUCAUCACUGUGCAAUUGAAAAUUUUCACGCCACGAGGACAUUUCGUGACUUGCCUUUGGCAUGCGGCCAAGAAUCAAGUUAUGGAAGUUAGAAGAACCGAUAUUAACAUUGAGACAAUCCUUUUAACUGGAAAAUCCUUGGAAAUUAUUUAUUCCACGAUUGUAUCAGGGAUUUGAUUACCAAAUACGCGCCCGGCCUACUACUACCAAGUGUACGCUCAUUGCUAGCUCGGCACGCGAGAAGCGGCGAUGGGCUGGCAAGCACCCCGUUCGAGUCAUGACAUCAGGUUUUUGGGAUUCCAAGGUGCCAACUUUCAGCGCUCAUGGCGCUACUACGCGCCAACAGACGAUGAACUUAUCUUUAUUUUCUUUAUUUUCUAUUUUAUGUAUUUUUGCUUUGUAUAUCAAUCUGAUGAAUCGCUUUAACGUCCGUGGCAAAGGAGAGCAUCAUAUAUCAAUAUAUCGCAUAAUAUUACAUUUAUUA
Molecule: long non-coding RNA, 1222 nt
Organism: Trachymyrmex septentrionalis
Lineage: Eukaryota; Metazoa; Arthropoda; Insecta; Hymenoptera; Formicidae
Exons: 3
Source: RefSeq, a predicted model, not a curated record